Peromyscus maniculatus bairdii (prairie deer mouse) is the source of this 688-nucleotide non-coding RNA. The record is from RefSeq and is a predicted model, not a curated record. NCBI's taxonomy places the organism in Eukaryota, Metazoa, Chordata, Mammalia, Rodentia, Cricetidae.
UCUCAGAAACUGAAUAACCGCUGUUUACCAUUCUGGACCAAUCCAAAGCAAAAUCUCUCCCUCACUCUUCCGCCUCAAACAAAAGCACCUGGCGGGGGCGGGUCCACCAGUCCACAUUUGUUUUGUUUUUCUAGGAGACUAGAGAGAGAGAGGAGAGUGGACAUGCAAAUGAGCAGUGUCAAAGGUCAGACCGAGACACAGAACUUCCUUGUUAGAAAGCAGGCGGCCGGCCUCUGUCUGAAAAGGGGCGUAAACAUCAAGGUGGCUGAGUCUCCACGUUGGUCCUGGGAACCGAACUCAGGCCCUCUGCAAGAGCAGCCAGCGCUCUUAACCGAGCCGUCUCCAGCCCCGAAGAACAUUUUCAAGAGAGCACAGCCACAGGCAAGUUCUCACUAUGCAGCCCAAGCUGGCCUAUAAACCCCUCAUCAACUGCUGGAAUUACAGGUGUGCACUACAACCAGGCACCUAUACAGCAGUACCUCACCAGGUAGCCUUGGCUGGCCUCGAACUCAAGCGAUCCACGUCCCCGCCCAAGGGGUGAGAUACCAAACACGCAGCCCCAUUCCCAGCUUCCACAAAGGCGCUUUCCCACAGGUCAAGACCAGACUUUCCAAGCCCAGCCACACCGCUCCUUACCUGCUUGUGAGCCCUAAGAACACACACAAGUAGACUCACCUGAGGUUCAACU